Molecule: ribosomal RNA, 408 nt
Filed under: uncultured bacterium
Lineage: Bacteria
Description: partial 16S ribosomal RNA
Rfam family: Bacterial small subunit ribosomal RNA
Source: RNAcentral
GACGAACGCUGGCGGCGUGCUUAACACAUGCAAGUCGAACGGAGUGGCGAACGCGUGAGUAACACGCGGGUGACUUGCCUUGCACUUCGGGAUAAGCUUGGGAAACCGGGUCUAAUACCGGAUAGUGCAAGAUGAGCUCGCGGCCUAUCAGCUUGUUGGUGGGGUAAUGGCCUACCAAGGGGUCGACGGGUAGCCGGCCUGUGAGGGUGUACGGCCACAUUGGGCCUGAGAUACGGCCCAGUGGCCUACGGGGGGCAGCAGUGGGGAAUAUUACACAAUGAGCGGAAGCGUGAUGCAGCGGCGCGGGGUGGGUGAUGAGGGCCUUCGGGUUGUAAACUCCUUUCGACAGGGACGCGGUACCUGUAUAAGAAGCACCGGCUAACUACGUGCCAGCAGCCGCGGUAAUAC